UACGGGGGGAGCAAGCGUUGUUCGGAUUUACUGGGCGUAAAGGGCGCGUAGGCGGCCACCGCAAGUCAAUUGUGAAAUCUCCGGGCUUAACUCGGAAAGGUCAACUGAUACUGCGGGGCUAGAGUGCGGAAGGGGCAACUGGAAUUCUCGGUGUAGCGGUGAAAUGCGUAGAUAUCGUUUGGAACGCCAAUGGUGAAAACAGGUAGCUGGGGGUGUGCUGACACUGAGACACGAAAGCCAGGGGAGCGAACGGG
This 254-nucleotide ribosomal RNA is filed under the name uncultured bacterium. RNAcentral describes it as "partial 16S ribosomal RNA". It matches the Rfam family "Bacterial small subunit ribosomal RNA", at positions 524 to 776 of the family's 1533-position model. The record is from RNAcentral.